GGAUGCUUAGCUCAGCGGGAGAGCAUCGCCCUUACAAGGCGGGGGUCGUAGGUUCGAAACCUACAGCAUCCACCA
Molecule: transfer RNA, 75 nt
Filed under: bacterium
Lineage: Bacteria
Also listed under: 5 other names
Description: tRNA-Val
Rfam family: tRNA
About the family: Transfer RNA (tRNA) molecules are approximately 80 nucleotides in length. Their secondary structure includes four short double-helical elements and three loops (D, anti-codon, and T loops).
Source: RNAcentral